RNAcentral lists this long non-coding RNA (237 nucleotides) under Sarcophilus harrisii (Tasmanian devil). RNAcentral describes it as "lncRNA (ENSSHAG00000020977.1)". Lineage: Eukaryota; Metazoa; Chordata; Mammalia; Dasyuromorphia; Dasyuridae. The record is from RNAcentral.
GCUCUGACCUCCUGGGUUCUAAGGGCCCUCCCAGCUCUGACCUCCUGGGUUCUAAGGGCCCUCCCAGCUCUGACAUCCUGGGUUCUAAGGGCCCUCCCGGCUCUGACCUCCUGGGUUCUAAGGGCCCUCCCAGCUUUGACAUCCCGGGUUCUAAGGGCCCUCCCAGCUCUGACAUCCUGGGUUCUAAGAGCCCUCCCGGCUCUGACCUCCUGGGUUCUAAGGGCCCUCCCAGCUCUG